GGGAGAGUGGCCGAGUGGUUAAGGCGCCCGCUUCAGGUGCUGGUAUCUUCUAAGAUGCGCGAGUUCGAACCUCGUCUCUUCCA
This 83-nucleotide transfer RNA is filed under the name Petasospora fabianii. Its description in RNAcentral is "Cyberlindnera fabianii tRNA". It matches the Rfam family "tRNA". From Rfam's summary of the family: Transfer RNA (tRNA) molecules are approximately 80 nucleotides in length. Their secondary structure includes four short double-helical elements and three loops (D, anti-codon, and T loops). Lineage: Eukaryota; Fungi; Ascomycota; Saccharomycetes; Phaffomycetales; Wickerhamomycetaceae. The record is from Rfam by way of RNAcentral.